This 253-nucleotide ribosomal RNA is filed under the name uncultured bacterium. Its description in RNAcentral is "partial 16S ribosomal RNA". It matches the Rfam family "Bacterial small subunit ribosomal RNA", at positions 524 to 776 of the family's 1533-position model. The record is from RNAcentral.
CACGGGGGGAGCGAGCGUUGUUCGGAAUCACUGGGCGUAAAGGGCGUGUAGGCGGUUGAGCAAGUGGAAUGUGAAAUGCCCCGGCUUACCUGGGGACCGGCAUCCCAAACUGCUCGACUUGAGUACGGGAGAGGAUGGAGGAAUUCCUGGUGUAGCGGUGAAAUGCGUAGAUAUCAGGAGGAACACCGGUGGCGAAGGCGUCCAUCUGGCCCGAUACUGACGCUGAGGCGCGAAAGCUAGGGUAGCAAACGGG